GCCAGGGGUAGCUCAGUCGAUAGAGCAUGAGACUCUGAAUGUCAGGGUCGUGGGUUUUGAGCUCCAUGUUGGGCA
Molecule: non-coding RNA, 75 nt
Organism: Podarcis lilfordi (Lilford's wall lizard)
Lineage: Eukaryota; Metazoa; Chordata; Lepidosauria; Squamata; Lacertidae
Source: the annotation of a GenBank genome assembly